CCGGGGCCUGCCAGAACGCACACUUCACAUUCAGUCCUGCAAUACUCUGUUUAGAUCACUAACUCCUUUGGCAGAGAAUUGGAGGCUCUUUCAUUUGUUUCUUUCCCCUUUUACUUCAAAGGCAGUCGUUCAGUCUCUUCAGAUACGAGUCCUGUUGUCCCUCAGACCUCCUCCCAUUCUGUCCCUGGGGACUUAGGUUUAACAUAGAGAACGAAGGCCUUUAAAACAAGCCACUUUCUGCAUUUUGCUAGCUGGAGCUCUCUUUUUCUGCCUCUUCAGAUGUUUUGUCAAGAGUUUAUUCCGUUCGUAAUUGGAAUAUAAAUUCAGCUUAUCGUUGGAAGGGAGAUUUGGGCUCUUAACACCAGACCAAGCAAUUUCAAGGAGCGGAACACUUCGUGGACAUCUAGGUCACCGGGCCUUCCUGCACACGAGGCCAUCGAGACUGGAGGGUGUUUAAAGGUUUAGUCCUGGCCGCCCACGGCUCAGCCUUCCCCCUGGAGUGAGCGUAUGACUCACACGCUCCGCCACGUGUGGCCGGAGGCCCCACUCCAGUUCCCAGACUGCAGGUACUCCAGUCCUGAUUCAGAAACAAUGCAUGAGCUAAACUGGGGCCAAACGUGGUAUGCUGGAUUCUUAAUGGAACUUUCUGGGCCACCUGGCAGCUUGCUUUACCGAUGGAUGGGGCUAAAGGUCUUGUCGUUUCUCGGAGGCGAUGGGGAAAGAUUGAGAGUCCUGGAGCCCAUUGGUACACAGCCCCAGGCCAUCCAUUCUGUGCCAAUCAGCGCCACCCAGACGCAGUUUCUCUCAAGGGACCUUGCUCGGAAGGGCUUAUGCCUUUGCUUUCCCUCGUUCAAGGCCUGUUCAUAUGGACAGCACAGAUGCCAUUUCGAGCAGUGGUCCUGGAGUCUGUCACCCCAAACCAAAGCGAAAUGGAGCAUUUCUCACGACCUGGUAUUGAAGUUCCUUCGUGUUCUGCAAAGCUGUGUAUGGGACUGUAUUAUCUUGUAUCCCUUAGUCCUGUAAGGUAUGUUAAGUGAACCACAGUGACACUGUACUUGUAUUACUAUUUACCAGAAUUAAAUGGGGACCCCUACGACUGAGGCUCUCCUCGCUGUCAGAAGCCCUUGUGGCGGGUUCUCUCCACAGUG
Long non-coding RNA from Rhinolophus ferrumequinum (greater horseshoe bat), 1148 nucleotides. RefSeq lists it as uncharacterized. The transcript has 2 exons. Lineage: Eukaryota; Metazoa; Chordata; Mammalia; Chiroptera; Rhinolophidae. The record is from RefSeq and is a predicted model, not a curated record.